CCUACGGGCGGCUGCAGUGAGGAAUAUUGGGCAAUGGACGAGAGUCUGAACCAGCCAAGUAGCGUGAAGGAUGACUGCCCUAUGGUUUGUAAACUUCUUUUAUAUGGGAAUAAAAUGUUCCACGUGUGUGAUUUUGUAUGUACCAUAUGAAUAAGGAUCGGCUAACUCCGUGCCAGCAGCCGCGGUAAUACGGAGGAUCCGAGCGUUAUCCGGAUUUAUUGGGUUUAAAGGGAGCGUAGGUGGAUUGUUAAGUCAGUUGUGAAAGUUUGCGGCUCAACCGUAAAAUUGCAGUUGAAACUGGGAGUCUUGAGUACAGAAGAGGAGAGCGGAAUUCGUGGUGUAGCGGUGAAAUGCUUAGAUAUCACGAAGAACUCCGAUGGCGAAGGCAGCUCACUGGACUGCAACUGACACUGAGGCUCGAAAGUGUGGGUAUCAAACAGGAUUAGAUACCCUUGUAGUC
This 460-nucleotide ribosomal RNA is filed under the name uncultured bacterium. RNAcentral's name for it is "partial 16S ribosomal RNA". It matches the Rfam family "Bacterial small subunit ribosomal RNA", at positions 338 to 795 of the family's 1533-position model. The record is from RNAcentral.